UACGUAGGGGGCAAGCGUUGUCCGGAAUUAUUGGGCGUAAAGAGCUCGUAGGCGGUUUGUCGCGUCGAAUGUGAAAUCCCGGGGCUCAACCCCGGGUCUGCAUUCGAUACGGGCAGACUAGAGUUCGGUAGGGGAGUCUGGAAUUCCUGGUGUAGCGGUGAAAUGCGCAGAUAUCAGGAGGAACACCGGUGGCGAAGGCGGGACUCUGGGCCGAUACUGACGCUGAGGAGCGAAAGCGUGGGGAGCAAACAGG
Molecule: ribosomal RNA, 253 nt
Filed under: uncultured bacterium
Lineage: Bacteria
Description: partial 16S ribosomal RNA
Rfam family: Bacterial small subunit ribosomal RNA
Source: RNAcentral